RNAcentral lists this unclassified non-coding RNA (229 nucleotides) under plant metagenome. Its description in RNAcentral is "partial contains small subunit ribosomal RNA, internal transcribed spacer 1, and 5.8S ribosomal RNA". The record is from RNAcentral.
UCUCCGUAGGUGAACCCGCGGAGGGAUCAUUACAGAGUUCAUGCCCUACCGGGUAGAUCUCCCACCCUAUGUUAUUAUUACUUUGUUGCUUUGGCGGGCCGUUAGGCUCCGGCCCGACUACCGGCCCCGGCUGGUAAGCGCCCGCCAGAGGACCCAAAACCCUGAAUAUUAGUGUCGUCUGAGUACUAUAUAAUAGUUUAAACUUUCAACAACGGAUCUCUUGGUUCUG